This 502-nucleotide ribosomal RNA is filed under the name uncultured bacterium. RNAcentral describes it as "bacterial SSU rRNA". It matches the Rfam family "Bacterial small subunit ribosomal RNA", at positions 28 to 524 of the family's 1533-position model. The record is from RNAcentral.
AACGAACGCUGGCGGCGCGCUUAACACAUGCAAGUCGAACGAGAAGGCGUAGCAAUACGCUUGUACAGUGGCGAACGGGUGAGUAAUACGUGGGCGACCUACCCUCGAGUGGGGAAUAACCCGCCGAAAGGCGGGCUAAUGCCGCGUACGCUUCCAUCUUUAUGGAGGUGGAAGGAAAGCCGUGCCGUGGGCACGGCGCUCAAGGAUGGGCUCACGUCCUAUCAGCUUGUUGGUAGGGAACGGCCUACCAAGGCUCCGACGGGUAGCUGGUCUGAGAGGACGAUCAGCCACACUGGCACUGCGACACGGGCCAGACUCCUACGGGGAGGCAGCAGUGAGGAAUAUUGCGCAAUGGGCGAAAGCCUGACGCAGCGACGCCGCGUGGGGGAUGAAGGUCUUCGGAUUGUAAACCCCGUUUCGGGAGGGAAGAUGGGACGGGCACCGUUACGGCGGUACCUCCAGAAGCAGCCACGGCUAACUUCGUGCCAGCCGCCGCUGUAAU